CUAAGUUAAGUGAGGUACGUGUCAUAGUGGGUAUUUAACUGAGCUCAUAUUAGCUUUAGCAAUAAUGGAAGUUCAUAGGUAAGAUAUGUACACUGUAUAAGUAGUUUUUUACUAAAAUUCAAAAAAUUACCUUCUCUUAACUUCAUAGAUAGCAACAUAAUUCUAUCAUGGAUUGUUGCUGCCCUAUUAUAAAUAUAGAAUAAAUUUGGAUUGGUAGAAAGCAUUUGACAUAACCAUUUCUAUUAACACCAGGAACAAUGUAUUUUAUGCUUCUUUGUGGUAAGGAAAAUAUAGUCCUUUCUUAGAAUGAAUAUAGAUAGAGUUGACAGGUUUAGCAAAUAAAAACAUUAGAUGCCCAAUUUAAUUUGAAUUUCAGAGAAAUGUCGAAUAAUUUUUUUGGUCUAAGUAUGUCCCAUUACAACUAUGUAGAAUGUAUGAUGACUUGUCUUUUAUGAGUCUGAUUUUUUUCUUAAAAUAGAACACAUUUUAUAUUUCUUUUUGCUAGCAGGGUCUGUUGGCACCAUUUCCCUUCAACAAUCUAUUGACAUGCUGAAAACUAAAGUGUCUUUGGAAUAACCUCCUGGUGAAUUUCCUUUUCACCCUGUCUACAGUGAUUUCAGGGAGCUACUUGUGAUGUCCUUUCCGAUGUCAGAAUUAAGGGUAGGGCAGAGGCAGAUGUAAGUACAGUACUGCCCACUCCCCUUCAAAGUCUAGUGGGUAGGCCUGGAAGCUUAUUGAGCAAAUAUGAUUUUAGUCACAAGUAGACAGGAUAGUCUGGACUAAUAAUGAAAAAUGUUAACACUACCUUGGAUUUAGAGUACUCUUCCUUUGAAGGUGUAAUUAAUUAAUACUUCCUUUGCAGAUGUAAUUCAUUAAUGCUUCACUUUGGUUUUGUUUUAGUACUUCACUUAUCCAAGGUAGGUUAAGCAAAGAAGUAUUAUUCAUUACACUGAAGUAUUAUUCAUUACACUGAAGUGAACAGUUCAGGCCUCUUCUGUCACAUCAGUUUAAAUAAGUACAACAAAGAUUUAUGACUUCAGCUGGGCGAAGUGGCUCAUGCCCGUAAUCCCAGCACUUUGGAAAGCUGAGGUGGGUGGAUGGCUUGAGCCCAGGAGUUUGAGACCAGUACUAGGCAACAUAGGUGGACCUCCGUCUUUACCAAAAAUUUAAAAAUUAACUAGGCAUAGUGGUGUGCACCUGUAGUUAGUCUCAGCUACUUGGGAGUCUGAGGUGGGAGGAUUGCCUGAGCCUGGGAGUUGAAGGCUGCAGUGAGCCAUGAUCCUGCCACUGCACUCCCAUCCUGGACAACAAAGCAAGACACUGUUGCAAAAAAAAAAAAAAGAAAAGAAAAAGAAAAAAGAAUUAUCAACUCUUACUGUCCCUGAACAUUGAAGAUCAAGAGAUCAAUGACAUUCUAAAUGUUGGAAUUUACAGUCUUCCAGUCUCCUGGACCACAAUGUACAGUUAAUAGAUCUUUCCAAGCUUUAUGGUACUGAAUCCCUAAUUAGCAUUCCACUGAAGAGCUCUUAAGGAACUGAAAAGGAACUGCUGCGUACCACUCCUGCUGAUGGUAAUUUCUUGGAUCCAAAACAAAAUCUGUGUAUUUAUUUCUUUGAAAACAUCAUUUGUCGACCGUCCUUUCACUG
RNAcentral lists this long non-coding RNA (1646 nucleotides) under Homo sapiens (human). RNAcentral describes it as "HSALNT0374855". Lineage: Eukaryota; Metazoa; Chordata; Mammalia; Primates; Hominidae. The record is from RNAcentral.